This 253-nucleotide ribosomal RNA is filed under the name uncultured bacterium. RNAcentral describes it as "partial 16S ribosomal RNA". It matches the Rfam family "Bacterial small subunit ribosomal RNA", at positions 334 to 584 of the family's 1533-position model. The record is from RNAcentral.
UCCACCUACGGGAGGCAGCAGUGAGGAAUAUUGGUCAAUGGGAGAGAUCCUGAACCAGCCAAGCCGCGCGAGGGAAGACGGCCCUAUGGGUUGUAAACCUCUUUUUUCGGAGAACCAAACCCGGGACGUGUCCCGGACUGCGUGUAUCCGAAGAAAAAGCAUCGGCUCACUCCGUUCCAUCAGCCGCGGUAAUACGGAGGCUUCCAGCGUUAUCCGGCUUUAUUGGGUUUAAAUGUUGCGUCUGCGGUCCUUU